This 468-nucleotide ribosomal RNA is filed under the name uncultured bacterium. RNAcentral's name for it is "partial 16S ribosomal RNA". It matches the Rfam family "Bacterial small subunit ribosomal RNA", at positions 28 to 507 of the family's 1533-position model. The record is from RNAcentral.
GACGAACGCUGGCGGCGUGCUUAACACAUGCAAGUCGAACGGAAAGGCCCUGCUUUUGUGGGGUGCUCGAGUGGCGAACGGGUAAGUAACACGUGAGUAACCGACCCUUGACUUUGGGAUAACUUCAGGAAACUGGGGCUAAUACCGGAUAGGAGCUCCUGCUGCAUGGUGGGGGUUGGAAAGUUUCGGCGGUUGGGGAUGGACUCGCGGCUUAUCAGCUUGUUGGUGGGGUAGUGGCUUACCAAGGCUUUGACGGGUAGCCGGCCUGAGAGGGUGACAGGCCACAUUGGGACUGAGAUACGGCCCAGAUUCCUACGGGAGGCAGCAGUGGGGAAUAUUGCACAAUGGGCGGAAGCCUGAUGCAGAAACGCCGCGUGCGGGAUGACGGCCUUCGGGUUGUAAACCGCUUUCGCCUGUGACGAAGCGUGAGUGACGGUAAUGGGUAAAGAAGCACCGGCUAACUACGUG